AUUCAGAAGGUUAAGAUAAGAUUGUAUAACAUAGGAUUAGAUUAAUUGUAAAUAAAGCAGUCCUCCUUAGAGGGGGGGUGGUGGAGGGAAUAUUUAAGAAAUAAAAAUAGGAUUAAUUCAGAAGGUUAAGAUAAGAUUGUAUAACAUAGGGCUACAGUGAAGAAAUCAAAAAUUUCAAGGCAGCAUGAAGGUAACGCACAAUCAGGGAUGUGCAAUUUCUGAGGCAUGUAUUCAAAAAAAGUAUUUUAAUUGUGUUUUAUGAUUCAUAUUUGAGUUCAUGAAAUAAAAUGUUUUUUUCUACAGA
Long non-coding RNA from Brienomyrus brachyistius, 304 nucleotides. RefSeq lists it as uncharacterized. Lineage: Eukaryota; Metazoa; Chordata; Actinopteri; Osteoglossiformes; Mormyridae. The record is from RefSeq and is a predicted model, not a curated record. The transcript has 2 exons.